This is a long non-coding RNA of Mauremys reevesii (Reeves's turtle), 974 nucleotides long. RefSeq lists it as uncharacterized. NCBI's taxonomy places the organism in Eukaryota, Metazoa, Chordata, Testudines, Geoemydidae. The record is from RefSeq and is a predicted model, not a curated record. The transcript is spliced from 7 exons.
CCUAUCACAUGCUUACAUGUCUGAGUGAUAACUCUACCCCUGUGGAUCUGGAAUCUAAAAAGAUGGAAACAUUCGGAGUGAAUUUGGGAUCUCCUGGGAGCUUCACGGAUGGGACACAUGUUUACUAUUUAGUUCUCCUUUACUAAUCCUAAUCCUGUGGAUCAACCUUUCAAGGUCAUCCUUAGGGGAGAAUAUCCUCUAUUCUCUAUUCCCCAGCCAGAAGAUGGGAAGAGAAUGACACAAGAAAAGAUGAGCCCCACACAUGACUCAGUCUGCUUCCAAGUCUGAAUCUGAAGCUAUGAAGACAAAGGAAGUGGGCAUUAUGGACUUUGUGGGAGAUCCUAACCAAGGGGGUAGUGAGCCAUCUUGGUAGAAGGAAGUGUGGAAGGGAGCAGCCCUGGUUCUGGGAACAACCAACACCAGUUGCUUUCUGUUACACUAAUGGAAAGUAACAUACAUAAUAAACGGGAGACAGAUCCCAUGGUACAUCAAGAAACUACUGCUCGAGGGGAAAAAUAUAUUCUCUUCAGCCACCAAAGCUUCUGUCUCACAUAAUAGAUGGGCGUAAAGAUGAGAACAAAACAAUAGCAGAAAGGAAGGCAGACACUGUUGAUGACAAACAGACCAAUGAAAAUACUGCAGAAGUCAUCGUCAUUGAUACAGAGAGGAGAAGCUUGUCAAGAGUACUUUUCACAGAGUAAGCCACUGUCCCUGAAGAGAUUUUAAGGGAUAAGGAAGGCACUUGAAGGAGAGAGUGCAUAACAGCUGCUAGAGCAGGAGCUAGUCAUGUGAUCAUGCCUAUGAAUGAGACCAGGAAAUGAAACCAUCUCUCCACAGAGCCCUGUCCAGUGCAAAAAGCAAACAAACUGAAGAGAGAGGAAAAAAUAAUCAUUGCCUAAUCCCUCUCUAAUGUUCAGUGAUCUGUGCAGUUACUUGUGAAACUUCUGCAAUAUGGCCAAUCCCAAACAUCCAAA